AGUGAACGCUGGCGGUAGGCCUAACACAUGCAAGUCGAACGGCAGCACAGUAAGAGCUUGCUCUUACGGGUGGCGAGUGGCGGACGGGUGAGGAAUACAUCGGAAUCUACUUUUUCGUGGGGGAUAACGUAGGGAAACUUACGCUAAUACCGCAUACGACCUACGGGUGAAAGCAGGGGAUCUUCGGACCUUGCGCGAUUGAAUGAGCCGAUGUCGGAUUAGCUAGUUGGCGGGGUAAAGGCCCACCAAGGCGACGAUCCGUAGCUGGUCUGAGAGGAUGAUCAGCCACACUGGAACUGGGACACGGUCCAGACUCCUACGGGAGGAAGCAGUGGGGAAUAUUGGACAAUGGGCGCAAGCCUGAUCCAGCCAUACCGCGUGGGUGAAGAAGGCCUUCGGGUUGUAAAGCCCUUUUGUUGGGAAAGAAAUCCAGCCGGCUAAUACCUGGUUGGGAUGACGGUACCCAAAGAAUAAGCACCGGCUAACUUCGUGCCAGCCGCCGCGGUAA
RNAcentral lists this ribosomal RNA (508 nucleotides) under uncultured bacterium. Its description in RNAcentral is "partial 16S ribosomal RNA". It matches the Rfam family "Bacterial small subunit ribosomal RNA", at positions 29 to 523 of the family's 1533-position model. The record is from RNAcentral.